Molecule: transfer RNA, 87 nt
Filed under: Candidatus Deferrimicrobium sp.
Lineage: Bacteria; Candidatus Deferrimicrobiota; Candidatus Deferrimicrobia; Candidatus Deferrimicrobiales; Candidatus Deferrimicrobiaceae
Description: tRNA-Ser
Source: RNAcentral
GGAGACGUAAUUCCUUUUCUUUAAGGCAGUUACGUGUGGAGAGUAAAGAAUCUUCGGACGGGGGUUCGACUCCCCCCGCCUCCACCA